Molecule: long non-coding RNA, 966 nt
Organism: Musa acuminata AAA Group (dessert banana)
Lineage: Eukaryota; Viridiplantae; Streptophyta; Magnoliopsida; Zingiberales; Musaceae
Exons: 2
Source: RefSeq, a predicted model, not a curated record
UGCUUGGAUGUGGAAACUUUAUGUUCUCUUUUGCUCCUCCCUCUCCAUAUGCAAUAGCCUGUGUUGUUCAGAGCUCAGCAGUAAUGGCUGGAUGGGUAAAACCUCAAAAGCUGUCGGUGCAGCGUAGAUGCAGAAGGAACGCGAGGGAAUGUGAACUCUUUGAUGUACUGAACCACCACAAAUGUCAGUCAUAUAUCGGUGAGCGGGAGGGACGGAGAGAACACUGUUAGGAAGUCAUUCGCCAUGAAUACUGCUGCAGCUGUCUCUAUCCUUUGGUGGUCUCGUGUUUUAAAUGCUUCGCCACAACAUACCCACCACUUUAAUCUCCCUGUCACUCCAUCUCUCUCCCCUCUUCAUCUUCUACCACCAACCUUUAGCUUUUUUCCCCAAGAGAUCAGAUGAGAGUUGAGUUUGAUCGGUCCAGAUAUUCCACUUGGAAGAAGGAACGCAACAUCCUCUCUCUCAUACGGUUGGAGAGAAAGGAGAGGGAUCAACCAUGAAAGGGCUAUUGUGGUGUUGGUCCGGCUCACUCAGAAUGCAUCAGCAAGAAGGCAAAGCAAACGCCUUACAGAUUGCAUUCUGAUUGAGCCGCGCCAAUAUCUCAGCACUCUUUUCAUUCCUCACUCCUCAGCGCAUGCAGUUCUGUUGCCAUCUCUCUGGAUUACAUCUAAGCCUGCUUGCAACUCCCUCAUUCCAAACUUCUAGCGGUGGCCGUGACACUGAGUUUGCUGUGAUUAGUGACUCCGCACUGCAACCCAGUGCAUGCAGGUGUUGAUGGUGAGAACCAGACAAUAUAUUACGGAUUUGAUAACGUCUUCCACACAAUCAAGGAUUGUUGAAUUGAAUCCGCGUUAAAUUCAAACCGAGAGUUGCGAAUACAUGGAAAUGCAAGCUUCCUCCACUUGCAUGUCGACACAGGCUUCCUCUGUUAUCAUGAUUUGGUUUAGCUUCGGACCUCUUGUUGAA